Perca fluviatilis (European perch) is the source of this 565-nucleotide long non-coding RNA. RefSeq lists it as uncharacterized. The record is from RefSeq and is a predicted model, not a curated record. NCBI's taxonomy places the organism in Eukaryota, Metazoa, Chordata, Actinopteri, Perciformes, Percidae. The transcript has 3 exons.
UGGAAAUGUACAUCAUCCUUGGCAUGCAUAUUAUAUUGCAGCUCACUUCUCCAUUCAUGUUUUACACCUAGCUUUUUAUUUGUUUGUGUCAACCACGGCCCUGGUCAUCAUUCGAGACCCGGCCUUUAAUUGACAGCCAGUUUUUGUUUGCCGAAAUGUGGUAUUUAUCAAUAUUGUUUUUCCUUUUAUGCCAUUGUUUUGCAGCUAUAAGAGAGGACUGGUAAUACAUUGCUGGCAAAGCCAUUGCUGUGAGCUUGGUACAUGGCGGUCCACCACCAAACUUCCUCUCUCAGACAUAGCUGACACAGAACUCUUGGAAAAAGUCAAAAAGAUUCUGUGAAGGACUGAAAACUCUUUGGGUUCAGGACCAAAUACGACGACAUCCAGACAGCUUUCGACCCCUGUUCUGCUAUGAGCUGUGGAUGAUCUUUUCAGCAUUCGUCUCUCUCCAGAAGGGAGCAACAAGAGAGCUGCUGACGAGAUGGUCGUUACUUUCUGGAGGGACUAUCUCCAAAAUGCAGAGGAAGAAGAAGGGCCAUCCAAACUAGAGAAGAUAUUGGCCUUC